Molecule: transfer RNA, 67 nt
Filed under: Marmota monax (woodchuck)
Lineage: Eukaryota; Metazoa; Chordata; Mammalia; Rodentia; Sciuridae
Description: tRNA.Ser
Source: RNAcentral
GGCUGUAGCUCGGGGGUAGAGCACUUGCUUAGAAUGCAUGAGGUGCUGGGUUUGAUCCUCAGCACCA